This 403-nucleotide ribosomal RNA is filed under the name Bacteroidota bacterium. Its description in RNAcentral is "Bacteroidetes bacterium partial 16S ribosomal RNA". It matches the Rfam family "Bacterial small subunit ribosomal RNA", at positions 355 to 776 of the family's 1533-position model. Lineage: Bacteria; Pseudomonadati; Bacteroidota. The record is from RNAcentral.
UGGGGAAUUUUGCACAAUGGGGGAAACCCUGAUGCAGCGACGCCGCGUGAUUUAGAAGGCCUUCGGGUUGUAAAAAUCUUUUUUACGGGAUGAAAAUGACAGUACCGUAAGAAUAAGGUCCGGCUAAAUACGUGCCAGCAGCCGCGGUAAUACGUAUGGACCGAGCGUUGUCCGGAAUCAUUGGGCGUAAAGAGCUUGUAGGCGGUUCGUCGCGUCUGGUGUGAAAGCCCAUCGCUUAACGGUGGGUUUGCGCCGGGUACGGGCGGGCUAGAGUGCAGUAGGGGAGACUGGAAUUCCCGGUGUAACGGUGGAAUGUGUAGAUAUCGGGAAGAACACCAAUGGCGAAGGCAGGUCUCUGGGCUGUUACUGACGCUGAGAAGCGAAAGCGUGGGGAGCGAACAGG